RNAcentral lists this ribosomal RNA (112 nucleotides) under Acanthosepion pharaonis. The record is from RNAcentral. Lineage: Eukaryota; Metazoa; Mollusca; Cephalopoda; Sepiida; Sepiidae.
ACGGCCAUAUCACGUUGAAACAUCGGUUCUUGUACGAUCACUGAAGUUAAGCAACGUCGAGCCUACUCAGUACUUGGAUGGGUGACCGCUUGCGAAUAAGAGGUGCUGCAGA